CCCUCCCCACACGCCCGCUGUCCACGCGCUGCGGCCUUGGAGUAACUGCUGUUCUUAAAGGCUGCCUCCGUCCUGCCGCGCGGCCUUUAGAGGGUUGGAGCUGGCAGAACCGUAACUCCCUCUCUGAGGCAUCCCCAAAGAACAUUCAAGUCUGAGCCUCAAGGAGCCUCUGCGACUCGGUGUCUAGAUCCAGGAAAUGGAGAAUGAGCCGUGACUUUGGAUGCUUCACUCUUGUCCAUCAGGCUCGGAAUUGGUGAGCAUCUCCCACAUUACCGUCUCCAACGGAACAAGGUGCCCCAUUGGACAUUUCCUCUGCAUGGACCAGCCAUUCUCCAAAUCUGCCCCCAUGUCACCCCAGCUCCCCAUCGCAGUCACUUCUCACUCCUUGUCCCCUGUCCCCCUGAGUGACAGGACUUUUGCCAGUUAGGUCCUGUCCCUGUUUCUGAUCUUGGGUCCAUUCCCCAUGGUCCCUUUCUUGCUUGUGCCUUGGGAUCUCAGGCCUGUUGAAGUAGGAGGCAGGACUCAACUUCAGACCAGAUUGAAGACUGGCUGACACAGAAGAGGCACCAAAAGCACCUCUCUCUCCAUAAGACAUGCCCACCAGUGCCAUGACAGUUUACCAUUGCUAUGGCAAUGCCCAGAAGUUCUCACCCCUUUUCCAGACAUUUCUGCAUAAUCUACCCCUCAAUUGGCAUGUGAUCAAAAGUGGGUGUCAAAAUGACUGUGGAACUGUCCCUGAGCUGCUACUCUUGACAUGCUGGUUACAGGGUAGCCCGGCUCUGCAGGGACAGUCACGGAGCUGAAAAACUGCUGCCUAAUGAAGCUGUUUUCUUCUA
Molecule: long non-coding RNA, 836 nt
Filed under: Homo sapiens (human)
Lineage: Eukaryota; Metazoa; Chordata; Mammalia; Primates; Hominidae
Description: HSALNT0333889
Source: RNAcentral